Long non-coding RNA from Lycium ferocissimum, 1576 nucleotides. RefSeq lists it as uncharacterized. The record is from RefSeq and is a predicted model, not a curated record. The transcript has 2 exons. NCBI's taxonomy places the organism in Eukaryota, Viridiplantae, Streptophyta, Magnoliopsida, Solanales, Solanaceae.
UGUCCUUAGAGUUGUACCGAACUGACAGCUCAAUAUUUGUGUAUCUGACUUCAUCUUCCUCUCUCUCAUCGCUCUCGGUCUCCAUCUCUGUUAUUUUCCUUUCUCUUUCUUUCACCUCCAAAAGCUUCACUAAUGGAUAAGUUUAUUACGUCCCAACCACAGGCUACCACCAGAUAAGGCUCUAAAUUUCUCUCCCUCUUUCUCUCUAUUCACACAUUUCUCUUUUAUUUUAUUUUCCUGUGGUACGUUUGGUGUAGGUUUCAGAUCACAAAUUGUGAAAAUUUUGGUGUUUUUUAUUGAUAUAACAGUAUGAUUCAUUGAACUAUAAUUCCCACUUUUUGGGAGGGUAAUUCAAUUAUCUUAUUGUUACAAAGAACUUGCUCUAAGUGAUGCAAACAACAUGUUCGACAAACUGUCUGAGAACCGAGUUCAUUCGCCAGUGAAGUCUGAGCAAAUGAUCGCUAUUAGGAGUCAAUUAGGAAUAAGUUUUGGAUAGUCAGGUAACAGGUUAAGUAUUCCACCUGGGAAGUACGUUUGAUAGAAUGAAACUCAAAGGAAUUGAUGGGAGCCCGCACAAGUGGUGGAGCAUGUCCUUUUAAUGCUAUGCAAAGCGAAGGAGAGCUUGGACAUUCUGUGAAUCCUCUUGAAAGAAAGCAAACCAGCAAAAUAUAAUGCAUAUCUACAAUGGGUAAUUUUUUAAAUCUACCUUUGCCCCUAAUGAAAGAGUACAAUAAUGUCUGGUCCUUAAAUCAUAUAACGAGACCACAGGCUAUUUCAUGAAAUAGAUUUAGAGAUGAUAGACUGCAGAAGCCUUGCGUUGAUAAUUUAACACAUGGAACUAGGGGAGAAAAAGAAGUGAAAGAGGAUAAUAAGAUGCAGACUACUUUUGCUGUGGUUGAAGGUUGAGUUGCAGAAAAUUAAAGUAGGACUGAUAGAAACUAUUUUGAGAAACACAGAAAUUUGAAACUACUCUUCAUUCAAUUUCUGGCUAAAUAGUAUAUUGAUGCAUACUGUUGAGGUUAUGUUUGGCUAGGAUUAAUCUAUUCGAGAAAGGAAAGAAACAUAAUAGGCUUUGAAGGUAGCAAAACAUUAGGUCUAACAUCUAACAUAUCCUAAAAUGUCAAUUUACUAAAAUUUACAAAAAGAUACAACUUCACUUCUCAUUAUAAAAUCUUAAAGGGGCCUUUGUUUGGGCCUGUUGGACUUUGAAUACUGAAAUACUUUGAGAAAUUGGCAUAACUUAGAGAAAUAUUAAUUGAGGAAAUAACUUAAUCGUCUCCUUAUACGGUCUUGGAUAUUAUAAGCUAGAGUUAGUGCUUGUUAAACCCAAGGUUCAUUUUCUUUGUGGUACAAGGGCUAGACUCAGUGCAGUUCUCGGUUUACUUAAUGUUAAGCCCCACAUUAUAUUUGUUCAUGCUCCAACUGCCCAGUCUUAAAUAAACAGAGAUGGUUAAGUGUACUAUAUUGGUUGAGGGAUGAACUAUUGUCUCCUUCUAAUGAACCUAGAAAAUUCUCGUAUGAUGAGCUAGCUUCUAUAGUUGGGUUAAGCCAAUGUCCAUUUUCGUUAUAGUAAAAA